Molecule: unclassified non-coding RNA, 3297 nt
Filed under: Dimorphilus gyrociliatus
Lineage: Eukaryota; Metazoa; Annelida; Polychaeta; Dinophilidae
Description: dgyrCDS878
Source: RNAcentral
AGAGAGAGAGAGAGAGAGAGAAAGACACUCUUUCGUCUCUUUAAUCUUAUUUGGAUACCUUGAAUAGAAAAUUAAUAAACUUAUAGUUUAUUUUACAAACAAACAAUCGUAUGGCGGCCAAUUUCGAAGGUAGUUUUGUCAAUUUUAAAAGAAAUUAACAUAGCCAAUGAAAAGUUAAGAGCAAAAGAUAAAUAUUGAACACGCAAAAGAUCUAGCAACCAAAAGCUUAAAGGUCUGUGCGUUUCUUUCAUAUCCGCCGACAGAUUGGACAAGUUCAGGGUUAAGUAGCCAAGGGUAUGUGUGGAUAGGAACUGGUUAAAAAUUUGAUAAAACAUUAGGAGAGAGAGAGAGAGAGAGAGAGAGUAAGCGAGUGAAAAAGGGAGAAAAGUCAAUAAGAAUACACAUUUUUCUUUUAUAAUUUAAACAUGAUAUUAAUCAAUUUCACAGAAUUUUCGGAAAUAUUAAUUCCAACUAAAUAAAUAGCAUUGGCCAUGUUCUAGGCCUGAACGCACUAUAAAUCGAACUUUAGCAAACAUUAACGGUAAAAACAAUGUUUGCACGGCAUAUUUAACAGACAAUCUCGAAAAUCAGCAAAAACAGGAGCUAGCUUGCCUAGCCUCGUGAAAAUAUUCACUUUUAAACGCUUCCCCUUAGAAAUAGUAGUAGUAAUAGUAGUAGUAUCAGCAGGCCCAGUUAACAUGACAAAUCCUUCAACAUCAGUAUUAAGAUAAAUAGACUUGUUAAUCGUGUUUGAUAGACAGAAUAUAAAGAGAGGAGGACGCCACAAGACCGGCCAUGACUGAUUUCAGCUCAGCUAGUUCGACAAUUUCCAGUGAUUACGGUUCUUGGAUAACUGCACCUUCGGAAACGGGAAAUUUUAACGAAACUUGUCUAUCCUUAUCAGUUAGGUUUAAAGUUGAAAAAUGUGAUAAGGAAAAAGUUAAAUCGUUAUACGAGCCAAUUUUUAGUUUAAUCGAUGAAAAUUCGGAUUUAUUUACCUUUGACGAUUCGGAUAAUGGAGAAAAGUCUAUCAAGGACCAAAUACCUUCGGUAACUGUAUCUUCUCUAGCACUGAUGGUCUUCCAUAAGGAGAAUUACGUGACGGAAAAGCAGCAAUCUGUUAAAAUGGUAAAGGAAUGUUUGAAAAAGCCUCCUUGGGUAUUACAUCAUACAGAUUCAACAACGAGGGGCUCUAUUCACCCGUAUCCAUUUAACAAUUUGGACUAUUAUUCGUGUUCAUCCAAUCUUCCUCUAUUGGCCCUUAGGCAGGUUCAUUACGGAAAGGAAAUAAUUCGUAUAGUUCGAUUCGUGUCGCAUAAAAAUUGGCAGGAUCAAAUCAACUUUUAUUCACUAGUUAUCGCUCAGAAUGCUACAAUUAUAAGAAAUGAUUUUUGCCUAUUUAUACUUAAAUCAACUAAAAAUACGAAAUUUCAAUUGCAUUUCGCCUUAAAAAAGGCUCCUGACAAAGUCAAAGUGUCAAAGGUUAAUGACUGCUCUGUGCAAUUUUCUGUUGACAAAAUUGGUCAUCUAGUACCACUAUUACCUAAAACAGCAAACCAAAUUUCCGAGAAUUUAUGGCUGAGUAAUGACUUGGACGACAACGAAAUUCUUUUUUCAACAGUCGCCGGUUCAACGUGGUCCUCUAGGAUUUCUCUGUCGCACGUUUCCGCGUCAGUCGACCACGUCAGUAGGGGAGAAAACAACGACGACGACGACGAUGACGACAACGACAACGAACCUGGUCGUCGAGGCAUUGACAGAAAGGACUACGAAACUGCUAGUGUUCUUUCUAAAACUCCCAGCAGCAUUUCCAUAACUCAAUCUGAACUUUCAACACUGUGCCAUCAUAUAGAACCGAAACGUCCCGUUAAACUUACAAAGACUUUGGUAAGAAGUAUAAGAGAUAGUAGGGAGCAGAUGAAGAGGAUAAGAGAAGGAGAUUCGGGCGUAGAUUCUCCAAAUAGAGCGCCAUCUACCGCCAGAUCUUUAACUCCGUGUUCGGCAACUUCUAGCAAAUGCUCAGACAAACUAUCUCCACGGGUAUUUUUGAACGAACCAAGCCAAAAGGUAGUUCAAGGCUUAAAAGGUUUUUACGUUUAGGAUAAAACAAAAAAACAAACGAACAGACAAACAAACAAACCAAUCAGAACAAAUAAAUUGUGACUUUUUAUAUUGAGAGUUCCGUCCAACUUGGCUUUAUAUAUUUUAUUCUAUUAUCGUUCUUUCUUUCACCGUCCAAUAGUAGUUAGUGUAUUCGGUUGUACGUAGAACGAAUGAAGAUUGAUAAACGCUCCAUGACCGAUGGAGGCAGUUGAGGAAAGAUGACGAGAGAAGAAGAGAGAAAGAUCGGGGUGGAGAGAAGAAAAUCAGGAAAAAAGACAGUUCGAUCAAGCGAUCGACAGAUAGAUAGAUAGAUAGAUAGGUAGUUAGAUAGAUAGAUAGAUAGAUAGAUAAAUAAACUAGAUAGAUUGAAGGACAGAAACAAGAACAAACAAACAAACAAACAAACAAACAAAUAGACAUGCUAUCGAUGCUAUUACAGCGAUUCCUGACAUCAGUUAAACUCCGCCCCUACUUUACCCCUUCUCCCUGUAUCUGUCUCUCGUUCCUUGUCCCCUUUCCUAGAAUAAAUCCAUCUACAACGCUCUUUUCCUUUUACUUUCUCUCAAUAUUUGUACAAGACUAAAAGUUGAAACGAAAAGAAAGUUUGCUUCUCUUUAUAUUUAAAUAAAUAAUCAUUUUACACCUGUUCUUAUUCAUUGUAAUUACCUUUUUAUUAAAGUUUAUAUGCUUCUACGAUACGCAUGGCAGGAAGCGCUGUAAAACGAAUGGCUUUAUGAUAGUUUUAUCCGGCUAAAACGUCUUUUUUUCUUUUUAAUUAUGCAACAGCGAUGAGGUAUAUUCUACUUUGAUUCGUGAUGCAUGUUCAAUGACUAUUUUUUCCCCCCUCUUUCUCUUUUUUCCUUUCUAUUCUGUCAGUCAGUCAGUCUAUCAUCCGUCUAUCUAUGUCUUUCUCUUUCUCUGUCUCUACCUCUCUCGUUCUGUAUGCUCUUUCUUCCCUCUUCCAUUCCUUCUCUGCUCAAUCGAUUGGCAUUCAUAUGGUUUUUUUUGUCAUAUUUUUCCUAGUCGCUUCUUUGUAUUCUUUAGCUUAAGAAAGAUAGAGAGAAUUAAGGAUACCUCAUGGGCGGUGAGGAAGUUAGAUAAAACUUUAUGACCGACUAAAAGGACGUUAAAAACUAGAUGAAUAACAACAUAAAAAUAGUCAGAUGACUAUUAUUACGAAAUUAUAGAUGUCUC